This 426-nucleotide ribosomal RNA is filed under the name Triticum aestivum (bread wheat). RNAcentral describes it as "partial small subunit ribosomal RNA". The stretch from base 211 to 349 matches the Rfam family "Small nucleolar RNA Z247". The record is from RNAcentral. Lineage: Eukaryota; Viridiplantae; Streptophyta; Magnoliopsida; Poales; Poaceae.
AUGAUGGAGGAUGUGCUUGGUCAGAUGACACUCAUGAACACCUCCGCCGCUGUCUGGGCGGCCCUCCAUGACAUGUUCUCCUCGCAGAACAAGGCGCAUCUCAUGCAGAUGCGUUUUCAGCUGUCGAACCUGAAGAAGAAGGACCUCACCGCUAUUGAAUACUUCAACAAGAUGAAGGGCUUUGCUGAUGCUAUUGCAUCCAUUGGCACACCUCUUGGCGAUGACGAGAUCCUCGGCUACAUGCUGGCCGGUCUUGGGUCUGAAUUUGAACCUCUAGUGGCCUCCAUCACCGCUCGCGAGGAGCCGAUCAGCCUUGGCAGCUUAUACGCGUUCCUCGCUAACGCCGAGCUUCGCAUGGAGCAGCAGGCAUCCGUGGGCGAGCUCCACUCCUCCGCCAACUCUGCAGCACGCAACUCUGAUGGCUGA